Manihot esculenta (cassava) is the source of this 520-nucleotide long non-coding RNA. RefSeq lists it as uncharacterized. The record is from RefSeq and is a predicted model, not a curated record. NCBI's taxonomy places the organism in Eukaryota, Viridiplantae, Streptophyta, Magnoliopsida, Malpighiales, Euphorbiaceae. The transcript is spliced from 2 exons.
UCAUUCUUCAUUUUGUUUAUUUUCUUUCUCUGCCGAGAACUACCAAGGGAAUGCCCAUUUUUCAUCUUUUUUUUCUCUACACCAAAAUUGCUUCAAAAUUUCACCUCCAAUCAAUUCCCCAUCUUCUCCCAACACCUUUCCAAAGAAGAAUUUGAAGAAAAGAAGGGAAAUCAAAGAGAAAUUUCAAGGUUGAGGGAGAGUGAAUAGUAACCUAAGGGUUUGGAAAGUUAAAGAAGAAGUGGAAGGGAAGAGUGGAAGUUCUAAAGGAAAAGGAAGAGAAAAGGAAGAUUAGAAAAUUUUAAGGUUUGUGCUCAACUUUGUUUGAAUAAAUUUAAGAAUUUGUUCAUUAUGUUUUAUUUGAACAUUUUACUACUCUAGUAGAAAUAGACCAAGAGAAGAAUAGUUUAAUUAUAAUGUUUAAUCAAAGUGUGAGAAUUAAUAGAUUUAAUAGAUAGAAAAUUUUAAAAUUAAUAUGUAAUUUAACCAAAAUGUAAGUUAUGGAUCUAAUGAAAUGACUCUA